Molecule: small nuclear RNA, 102 nt
Organism: Mustela erminea (ermine)
Lineage: Eukaryota; Metazoa; Chordata; Mammalia; Carnivora; Mustelidae
Source: RefSeq, a predicted model, not a curated record
AUGCUUCAGCAGCACAUAUACUGAAAUUGGAAUGAUACAGAGAUAAUUAGCAAGGCCCCGUGCAAGGAUAACACACAAAUUUGUGAGGCAUUUCAUAUUUAA